GACGAACGCUGGCGGCGUGCUUAACACAUGCAAGUCGAACGAUGAAGCCCAGCUUGCUGGGUGGAAGAGUGGCGAACGGGUGAGUAACACGUGAGUAACCUGCCCCUGACUCUGGGAUAAGCGCUAGAAAUGGCGUCUAAUACUGGAUAUGACCUAUCACCGCAUGGUGUGUAGGUGGAAAGAUUUAUCGGUUGGGGAUGGACUCGCGGCCUAUCAGCUUGUUGGUGAGGUAAUGGCUCACCAAGGCGACGACGGGUAGCCGGCCUGAGAGGGUGACGGGCCACACUGGGACUGAGACACGGCCCAGACUCCUACGGGAGGCAGCAGUGGGGAAUGUUGAACAAGGGGCGCAAGCCUGAUGCAGCAACGCCGCGUGGGGGAUGACGGCCUUCGGGUUGAAAACCUCUUUUGGUAGGGAAGAAGCGCAAGUGACGGUACCUGCAGAAAAAGCACCGGCUAACUACGUGCCAGCCGCCGCGGUAA
RNAcentral lists this ribosomal RNA (483 nucleotides) under uncultured bacterium. RNAcentral describes it as "partial 16S ribosomal RNA". It matches the Rfam family "Bacterial small subunit ribosomal RNA", at positions 28 to 523 of the family's 1533-position model. The record is from RNAcentral.